RNAcentral lists this long non-coding RNA (2758 nucleotides) under Equus asinus (donkey). Its description in RNAcentral is "lncRNA (ENSEASG00005029935.1)". Lineage: Eukaryota; Metazoa; Chordata; Mammalia; Perissodactyla; Equidae. The record is from RNAcentral.
AUAUUAACUGAACAAUGAAAAGAAGUUUAUGCAACAAACAGCAAUUAGAAAGUAAAUAAGUUGAGUCUGUAGGUAAAAUGUAAAGAAGUUUACAGCACUUACCGAAGGAGGAAGGAAGGAGGAAGAAAGACUUGGUAGUGGGGGGGCUGGCGGAGAAGGGGUUCUUUGGAAGGCAUGGCCUUCUUUCCGCACCGUUCAACCAUUUCUCAACAUUUAGGGGGUUCACGGUGAUCUUGCAUCCAAACUUCACUACAAAUAAAGUUAUAUCACAGAAAAUACGUUGAGGGCACAAUAAAAGUAAAUACGUGAGUAGUUCAAAAGGUGUAAAACCAGUGCGUGCGCACAGCCCACUGACGAGUCACGGGACAUGCUUCCUCCUCCUUCCUCCUCCUUCCUCCACUGCGCAGUGUGCUUCGGGUUCAUCCCCACGCGGCAGCCACUCCUCUUCCUUCCAUGUGAUGUUCUCCGACUAGAAACUGCUGUGCCGAGUAAUAAGCUGGUGACUGUGUCUUUGCCUGAAACCAUAAAGUCAAAAUAUUACUUCUUGCAGCAUAUGGCAUUGGGUGAAAACAUGGUCAUACUGAAAAAAAAAGAAGCCACUGUCUGAAAAGCGUGGAACCGUUCAAAGCCGUAACGGCAGUAGGUCAUUACCGAACGUCUGUGUGCGGGCUGCGGGUGUAGCUGAGGGGCCGGGGCAGGAAGAGGCAGCACCCAGGCCUCCUUACAGGGUCUCACUGGGUAACAGUGAGCGGAGUCCUUCCGGCCGCGGGGGAGCCCGGACUGCAGACAAGCCUCCGCACACCCCGCCUCCCGGGCAGGGCCCAGGGCCCAAACUCCCUCCUGUGUUCUCCUUCAGCCGGAUUUGAGGGACUCGGGUGUGUCUGGGCUGAAAGUGUUAGAGCUUCCACCAAGCUGCUGCGGAUGUCCCCAGUGGGCGUUCGCUUGUGACUCUUAAAGAAACAGGCCUGAGGCCCGCUCUGACGGCCAGAGUCAGCUUAAGGGCUUGUUUCGUUCCGGGAGGAAUCGAGUCGCGUUGGGCAGUGAACACCCCCUGGGAGAAAGAACAGGACGCUUCACCUGUGCCCGCUGCUGUGUCCCCGGUUCUUCUGAAAUCUCCCGCACGCCGCGUCUGUUCUUAUUCCCCUGGGCCCGCUGGAAGCCCAGCUAGGGGCAGCCAGGGCCAAAGGGCACGGGCUUCGGGGCUGGCCAGAAGGGCACUCGGCUCCCCCACUUCCUCCCCUGACCACAUUCAAGUCGUCCCUCCCCUCCCGCCACCUCCCGCAACCUUCCUCCGCCCUCGCGUCCUCCUCGGAUGGCAUCACGCACGUUCUCUCUUAGCUGACGUCACCAGGCGCGAGCGUUCAUCCGCAUCUCAUCGGGAAGACUUUCCAGGGCUGGACUUGAACCCUGGAGCGCUCCCGGCACGUGUCUGUCCCUCCAGCGGUUCGGGGACUCUAGGAGACUCUUUCUCUGGCUCUCGCGCUGGCUCCCUGCCGCUGGCGCUCUCCCGGCCGUCGUCACCGUCCCGUCGUCACCGUCCCGGGAGGAGGGCCGGCCCGCAGUCGGCCUGUGGACUGCGGCGUGAGCGCCCGCGAGCUACGAGUCCUCCAACGGGCCCCGUGCUGCCAAGGCUAGUGAAGCCUGAGCGUCCGCUGCUCAGGGACAGAGAGGAGUCAGCUCGACCCGGAGGCCAGAGAGACCCCGGCUCCUCCGGGCCGUGACCUGGGGCCCCCGCCCUGCCCUGCGGCCCGCGGACUGCCCAACCUGACCAAUUUCUCUCGGUGUUUGGCGAGGGCCUUAGGGAGCCCAGACCCAGAACGCGAGCCUGGUUGAGAACGUGGAGAGACGCAGGUCGCUGGAACUCGCUGUCGUGGGAAACAGCGGCCACUCGCCGCCGAGGCAGAGGGCUCGCGGGCAGCAGCGGCGGCCGCAGGAGGCAGCCCGGAGGAGCCGGCGCCCGUUCUCCUCCCGCUCGGCUCUCCCCCAGCGCCCCCGCGGGCACCACCGGCGGGCAGCCGGCCGGCCGAGAGAGACGCGCUCGGCGUCCCAGCCCAGCGUCGCCGAGCGAGCGCAGGACGGCUCCGAAGCUGAGACAGUAGCCUAGGGAUCCGCACGUGGACCCUCACAUAUUAAAUGACGAAGAUUAGCCCUGAGCUAACUCUGCCAAUCCUCCUCUUUUUGCUGAGGAAGACUGGCCCUGAGCUAACAUCCAUGCCCAUCUUCCUCUACUUUAUAUGUGGGACGCCUACCACAGCACGGCUUUUGCCAAGCGGUGCCAUGUCCACACCCGAGAUCCAAACCGCGAACUCUGGGCCUCCGAGAAGUGGAAACUGCGCACUUAACCGCUGCACCACCGGGCCGGCCCCCAAGUUCUAUUUUUUCUUUAAUUGCUUUUCAAUUGAUUUUCCUGUUUUGUCCAGGUAUAAAAUUAACGGUAUAUGUUAUCAGUAAUAAUAAAUUAUUCCCUCCUGUCUUCUAUUUUCACUAUUUUCUUUCUGUUCUCUGAUUCAAUGGCUGCUAUUGUAAUGGGUUGAUCUCACUCUUCAUUCGCCCGGUGCAGACGUUUUUGUUAGAGACAUAGAUUUAAUUUUCUUAAAGAAUAACACACGCUUUCCUAUUGUAUUAGAAGUUUUGUAAAGUCCAUAAAUUGAUUUUUAACUUUUCAAAUAACUUUGAGGAAUCUAUUGAAAUGAUCACGUUUUUCCUCCCUUGACCUAUGAAUGUGGUGAAUUAUUCCAGUAAAUAUUCUUAAAUUGUU